UGCGCGGUGGAGAAGUUGGUUAUCUCGCGAGUCUCAUAAACUCGAGGUCGAAGGUUCGAAUCCUUCCCGCGCAA
This 74-nucleotide transfer RNA is filed under the name Candidatus Asgardarchaeum californiense. RNAcentral's name for it is "tRNA-Met". It matches the Rfam family "tRNA". From Rfam's summary of the family: Transfer RNA (tRNA) molecules are approximately 80 nucleotides in length. Their secondary structure includes four short double-helical elements and three loops (D, anti-codon, and T loops). Lineage: Archaea; Promethearchaeati; Candidatus Asgardarchaeia (ex Tamarit et al. 2024); Candidatus Asgardarchaeales (ex Tamarit et al. 2024); Candidatus Asgardarchaeaceae. The record is from RNAcentral.